AACGAACGCUGGCGGCAGGCUUAACACAUGCAAGUCGAGCGCCCCGCCAGGGGAGCGGCAGACGGGUGAGUGGCGCGUGGGAACGUACCCUUUGGUUCGGAACAACUCCGGGAAACUGGAGCUAAUACCGGAUAAGCCCUAACGGGGAAAGAUUUAUCGCCGAACGAUCGGCCCGCGUCUGAUUAGCUAGUUGGUGGGGUAACGGCACACCAAGGCGACGAUCAGUAGCUGGUCUGAGAGGAUGAUCAGCCACAAUGGGACUGAGACACGGCCCAGACCCCGACGGGGGGGAGCAGUGGGGAGUAUAGGGCGAGGGGCGCAAGCCUGAUCCAGCCAUGCCGCGUGAGAGAUGAAGGGGUUAGGGUUGUAAAGCUCUUUUGUCCGGGAAGAUAAUGACGGUACCGGAAGAAUAAGCCCCGGCUAACUUCGUG
RNAcentral lists this ribosomal RNA (431 nucleotides) under uncultured bacterium. RNAcentral's name for it is "partial 16S ribosomal RNA". It matches the Rfam family "Bacterial small subunit ribosomal RNA", at positions 29 to 507 of the family's 1533-position model. The record is from RNAcentral.